This is a non-coding RNA of Oncorhynchus mykiss (rainbow trout), 3577 nucleotides long. The record is from RefSeq and is a predicted model, not a curated record. NCBI's taxonomy places the organism in Eukaryota, Metazoa, Chordata, Actinopteri, Salmoniformes, Salmonidae.
UACUAAGCUUGGUCAUAUUAUUCCUGAUUCCUGAGCUUAGAAAAUCCAGUGUAUGAAUUCGGUGUAUUCUUGUAUUGGAUAUAUGCCAAUCAUGCUUUUGAAUGCACUUGAGUUGGUCUGAGAGUGUCCUUACCAAGUUCUACAACCAGGAUUAACUUAAGUCACCCAAGAGACCGGAGUCUGGUCGAGUGGGUAAAGUAUGAAACACACCGAGAAUCUCACUGCUGAUAGACUGCAGAAAAGUACUUAUCACAGUGGGAGGCCGUUCCUUCUCUUGCUUGAACAAAAGCGGUACCUGCUGUGGGCCGACCCGGUAGAGACGAACCUAGCAAGGCUCGUCAGUGGCCAAAAACUUGACUUUGAUCCAAUCAGAGAGCACAAACCCCACUUGGGGUAGCCAAAAAAAUAAAAUGAGAAAAGAGGGCAUUUUCUCCGUAAAUCCAUGGUGAACCAGUCACACUUCAUAUGCAAUGUAGGCUAUGGGAUGGUAGUUAGCUAAGUGCACAGACCCAAUGCGCACAACACUAAAUACUUCUUCCAAGCUAGCUAACCACUUAAGCACUCCUUAGCUAGCUAGCCAUAUCCAUGUGAAGUAGGGGUGCUGAGGGUGCUACAGCACCCCCUGACAAAUCAUUAUAAAUGAAAGAAAAACAUAUUUUUUCAAAAAAGUGGUCCACUGGGCCUUUAUUAGCCCCCCCCCCCAAAUGUCUCAGCACCCUUCUUCACAUGGCCAUGUAGCUAGCAAAUAUGCUAACACUAGUUGAUCUUAAGAAUGCAUCAUAAAAGAAAAAGCAUUUGACCCAUCCAGUCCCCUCUGUCAUCAUCACUUUCUCAAACACUCUAAAAAAAAUAUUUGUCACAUUUUGCCUGGAAUCUCUGACUUCUCUACUUUGGACAAAGCAGGAUGUGGAAUAAUACAGGCAGGCAACGAGGCCUGUACGCCAAAACCACACUUGCUGUGUUUUUAUUUUGUUUUAAGACCAAACCAAAGCAGAGAGGAAAGGUGUAUUUUAAUAUAUUUAGUGCCACUGCAGAAAUCUAGUGCUUUGUAUUUUGGUGAGGGCAACCUAACACUCCUCAGACUACAAAGAGGCCGGAGUGUUUAUGUAACGCGCCCCUCCACCAACCAUCAUGACUUGGACAAUAAAAAAAUCCCUCCCUGCUGCCCCUAACCUCCUCUGGCUCUCCUGCCGUAGCAGCCGGUGACGUGGUAGAGCUGGGCCUGACAUUUGCUGCUGCUCUCUUUCGCUCUGUCUCACAGCAGAGUGUGGAUGUGUGCUUUUUGGAGAAGGCAUGUGCAGGGCAGCUCACAUCUGGUCUUCUGUCAAAAGGCCAGACCACAGACAGAGAGCACCCAAAAAUUGCAGUGUUCAAUAUUCCACAUUAGUUCAGGCCCAGACAGCAAAACUAAGCAGAUUUCGCUCUCCAGAUAGCGUUUAAAUGUCAGAAAUUGUCCUGCUGGUCAAUUGAAUUUGACGUAUUACUAGAUAUAGUCAUAUGAAAAGUCAGAGACGGCAGAACAACCAAGUAUUAAAAGUAUACGUCGGUAUUUUGGAUAAUUUCCUAUUUACGGAGAGAAAGACUAACUCAUGGAUACCAUUGUUAUGUGUAUGCGUGCAAGUUGAAGGUAGCAUAUCGUUAUUUUAGCGCAAUUGCUGGAAGUCUAUGGAUAUCUACUAGCUAUCUUCUCUUAAAAGCAGGGAAAUUAGCACUUUGUACUCUAAGUAUAUAUGAAAUUGUAAAAUUUAAAUUAUAGUUAUUUAUUUUUGGAACUAUUUUCUCCUAACUACGCAUUUUAUUAAUCCGCUGUGACGGUGGGCAAGGAUGGGCUGUGUGUGAGCUGGCCAGCUGAGACGUCGGGACAGCGGCAGUUUUGAACAAGUUUGCUAGCUAGAUAUCAAGUAGGCAACGUGUGAGAAGAGAACAUCAAUUGUAAAACCCACAGAAGAACAAGAGUACAUCAACAGUCCAAAACUAUAGUAGCAGCCAUGACUGUGAAUAUUCUUGACACUGCUGGAAGUAUUUUCACGCUAUUGGCUAGUUUACGUUACCUUGACAGCUAGCUAGCACAUGUAGUAGAGUGUGGUGAGACUUGGGUUACAUCAACGGACUAGUCCAAUAUUGAAAAUGGUUUGUUGGUAUGCUGUAAAAGUUUGCAAUAACAAACCAAGGAAGUGGUCGGCUAUAAUCUUUCACAAACUUCCAUUGAAUAAUCCGGACUAAUUUAAACUAUGGCUAGUUGCCGUGAAUAUAGACAACGCUGACCAAGGACCUCAGAAAGGUUGUAGCUAUUUUUUUAGAGGAUGAACUGACGAGCCAUAAGAUGAGACGUUUCCUGACGCAUACAGUGGUCAUUCUACGCACGCCAGAACAAAGUAGAAUGGGGUAAGUGUGAUGAUGAUCUAACAGUAUGUGAUUGAUUGAGUAGGAGCUAGCUGUUCUCAUGAUAAAAUGUGAUAGGCCUGUCAAUUGUCUUGUGGAUAAACUGUCCAUGUCAUCCAUUACAUUUAAUGGAAUGCCCUCCUCUCAAAGCCAAAGUAUAGCUGAGUACAACAAAACAACUUAAAAUUCACAAAACUAUGUGAUGUCCUUUCAUUAUAAAAAAUUGUGUGGUGCCAUUAUUUUAAUCAUUAUUCAAAUUGAUUUAAACACUUUCCACCUAAUUAUACAAUUUCCACAUGCUUUAGAAACAAAUAAAUUGGCUUGACUUUAUGGUGUUAGCUAUGUAAUAGGUGACAGCAUGCCACAAUAACAAAACAGCUAUUAUGGCUUUCUUCAAAUGUGUUCUCGUUUGCUUAUGAAUACCAACAUUUCCUGUACCCUUUUCCUUUAUUUUUAACUAACGUUGAGAUAGAUGACGUGACUGCUGUGGACUGUCCACAAGGAACGGACUCCAUGUCUGCUGAAGUAACAUCGCAUUCAAAACCAGAAUAGAGGACAAGCCUCAACAGUUGUUGGCACUCCAAGAUCCAACGUUGUCUACCCAAAACAAUCAAAACAGUGGAUUGCACGGCUGAUAUAUCAACCCACCGCUCAAAGAUUCAGGGAUGACCUGAUGGAGAUCACCCUGCAGAGACGAAUGGACAAAUACUUGGAGCCCAAACAAAUCCUGUGGAAGAGGCUGUCGUUUGGCUGCCAACAUAACCCCAUGCAAAAACCCAGCAAGGAGGAGGUCAUUACUGGUAUCUCCAUUAGCCAUUCUUCCUUGGGUCCACAUAAACACGACAAGUAACAAAACACUCUGAUAGACAAUUGCAGCACACACAUCAAGAUUCAAGUACACUUGGGGCUAUUCUGACACCCCCAACUGACAUGGUCCUCCUUGCACUACUACCUAAUACAAACACACUUAUUGUAACAUCAUUUGUUAGCCUCUGGUCAUUAUCUGUCUGCAUCUUUAGCAUGAAAAGAAAAUCCAUUCACUUUAGACUACUGCUAUACCUACUUUGUACUGUCUAUUUUAUUGUAUAUUUACUUUUUAUUGCUGUGAAUUGUGUGAAUGUCUUGUCUAUACUGUGUAUUGUACAUUAUGUGCAGUGAUCUGUAUUGUGUUGUAUAAAAUAAAUAAUUGCCGGUU